UCAUGCACACUGCCCCAGGCUGCCAAAAAGGCAGCCAUCAGCGUUGCUUAGUGAAGGCAGCUUAGUUCUGCCAGCCAUCUUAUCUCCCCUGCUGCAUGGGCGAUAGCUUUUAUCUGUGAGUAUAAACAUCAAAAUGGAACUGUAAUCGUAUCUUAGUCCUACAGAAGAUUGCUAGCUGUUUCUCAGAUAUGAAGAAACUCCUUCCAUUGCAGAAAGGUCUCCUUCUGUCCUCUUGUCACUGGCCCUGCCUGAAGUCUCAUCAUUAUUACAUCCUUUGUGCUAUAGAAACUACCAUUUGGAACAAUCAGGUCCCACUGGGGCCUCAGAAAUGGACCUUAGGCCUGGAGGUAGUAGAAACAUCAUCAGAAGAUAAUGAGAAGGGCUGCACCUCUGCUGCUGCUUUAAAUGUCCACUGAUGGAGAUUUCCAAAUUUUGACAUACUUCAGUUCUCCAAGGCUCUUCUGUUAGGAGUUGUGAUCUACAACACACGUGUCAGAAUUAAAGCCCACCCUCUUUCAUCCUUUCUGCUAACAAGAUAUCCAAAGAUUUUCCUUAGGCUGAAGAAGGGUUUAUAAAUUACAGUCCAGUGUCCCAGCUACAAUGUAGGUCUGUUGCUUUAGAGCAUGUUUACAUAAAAGUAUAUAUUUGCUUUCACUUUAACUCUAUCAACCCUAUCCCUGCUGUUGAAAACCUUUUUCUUAUAGGUUUGCAUUGCUGAUGCAUUUCUUGUUUUCCAUAUACAUAGCUCUGCAGAGCAGGCACUGUUUUCAUUUUAUGUCUUCUUCAGUGUUAUUACAUUUUUUUAUCCUUUGAAAAAUAACUCCAUUAAGGGUUAAUUCUAUGUCAUUGAAUACCAAGCAACCUGAUGUAACAAUUGUGAAGAAAAUUUUCAGCUCAAAAUUAUUAACUACAGACCACGCAGAUGGCUGUCUGUUUAUGUGGUUAAAACCAGAAAUGCAUACUCACUGUUAUUGUUUUCUGAUGUAAAAAGAGAUGCUAUUCAUUUUCAUACAGAUAUAAAAUGCUUGACAAACCCAAAUUAUUUCAUUAAUAGCGCUAACAGCAGUGAAUUUUCAUUAUUUAUUAUUUGUUGUAUAUACAAAUGUGUCUUUCUUUAUUACAUUCAUAACCUGUCAAUUUUCAACAAAAACUUCUUUUUAUAAAACGGAAAAAAAUCUAGUGCAUUUAUAUAACAAACGUAUCCAUGGAGUGUACAGUUUUGUACUAUGUGCAUGAAAGUUCCUGGCCUGACAUCAACAGUCUGUGCACAUCCAAUUCCCUCAACAUACCUAAUCCCUGGCUUGGUGCAAUUUCUCUCAGUUACAGGUAGCAGGCAAAAACAUCACUUCUUGCAGUCAGUUUAACAGCUAUUAGGUAAACUAAAUGUUCUCUCUAUUUUUGUAUUGCAGACACAACUAAUUACAGUAUUUCAUCACUUGUAACAGGUUAACUUAUUUUAUUUUGUUAAAGCUUCAAGGUAAUGAAUUUGCUUGUGAGCAGUUUGUAAAUAAUCACAACAGCCAUUACAGAAACACCCUCUUUUUCAUAUUUGACAUGAAUAAGAUAGUUAAACAGUUCCUGCUGCAGGUGAGUGAUACUUUAUACAAAUAUACAUAUACCUGAGAACCACUCUGUUGUUUGUUUGCUAAUGCGUGGGCAUAACCACUUGUUUGCAUUUUCUGGUGUGGUAGUUUGUUUGGUGCCAGGAUUCCUCUCUCUGGGUCCUCUCACGUCUUUUCUUAAGGAAGACAUCCCCCUUAUGUGUGGCUCUGGAUUGCUAUGAAGACCUUGGUAUAAGAACUCCUAUGCCUUUUGGUCACAUGAAGUAUUUUGCAGUUGACUUCAGUAUAGUGAAGUUUCCACCUAACUUCAGGCACUUAGGUAGCCUCUUAGGGAUGUGCAGCAUGCAGAAUACCCUUUUUACGCUUUAUUAACUGCAUACCUGGGAGCAUGUUGAUCAGUCUGAGCUGGUUUCAUCCUAUCAGAGACAUAAAGAAAGUUAAGGUUGUGAGGUUUUUGUUCAUUUGUGUGUUUGUUUGUUUUUCUCCCAGAUGGAGAAAAUGCUUUGAAAAUGCUCACUUUCCCAUUCUAUAUUGGAGAAAUGCCAAAGUUCUACAAUGUUUCAGCCAGGUUUGGAGCACUGCCACCAUUGAAGGCCACAAAUCAAAACUAUUUUAUAGCAAGGAAUCAUCCACUUCUGAAGUUCAUAGACCUGCUGAAUAUGCAGUCCUAUCUCUUGUCACAUAGACUUUUUUUUUCCUUUCUGUAGUUCUCAUUUGUUCAUCUCUUUGUAAAGUCAUAGCUUCAAGGCUUUACUGUUACUGGUAUGUCAGGAGGAGUAUGUGAAUAAACCUCUUGUGAAUUAAAGUUUCCUUGCUGUGGUAUACAAAUUUUAGUGAUCAUGAAAACGUGCCAAAUAAGAGUAGCUAAACCAAAGUGUUACAUGACUGUCCUUAACAAUUUUACCAAAAUACUUUAGUGCUGACAAAUAACUCUUUUCACUAGUGUAAUAAUGAAUGAAUAUAGCGCUCCCAGUGGAGCCGCUCAUAUAGUACAUUGUUUGCUUUUUUUUUUUUCUGAGAACAAAAGGAAGCUACUUGGAGACCUUUAACUUUAUUUCAUGAGAGAACUAUGUAUUGAGUCCUGAUGAUCUUCAGAAGUGACAGCUAAUGUAUUGAGCCAAUACAGCAUUCCAAUACGCAGAGAACCAGUUUAUGAUAAUUACUUUUGCAUCUGUAUUUAGAGUACCACAUGUAAUUACUGAAGUGUAUACUUUUCUCUCAGCAAUGGCAUGCAAUUUCCAUUAGUGGUCUUGGCAGUCAUGCACAUGCAUUACAAGCCCUCUAAGUAAUCUACAGCCCCUUGUAAUUAAAUGCAAAAAGAAUUACAGACACUAGAACAUAGUGAAUAAUUCACAACCAAUAACUUGCCUGAUGAAUUUAACUUGGUUUUAUGUACCAAAACACAGCCAGGUAUUCUAUCUUACGUAUUAAGCUACUCCUUUAUUACUUCUUUUAUCUACAGUCCUCUCACAACUUUUGGCAAAAUAUUUCCAAACUGCUAUUGGAAAAAUACUGAUUGUUUACAUAAUUUCUCACUAAAAUUUUACAUUAGGGAUUUGAAUAAAGAUGGUGAAACUCUGAAAUUUGAGAUUCUUCUCUAUACGAAGCCACCUGUUUGAAAAAAAAAUUUCUACAAUUAAAGAAGAAACCACUUCAUUCAAAAAUUCUGUAUCUUGAAACAGUUUUCACGGGAAUUACUUGAAAAAAGUCAACUUCUGUACAGUAGGAAAGUCUCACAGUUUGAAAUUCAAACAGUAUAGAAGUCGAAGAAACCUCCUAGGUCUUUGAAUCACUUCUCUCAUAAUGAAGGUUACUGUAUUGUAUCUUCAAUAACUUACUUAGUACCUUCUAAAUACCACAUACAUUACUUUCCUCACUAUAGUUUCAUUAUAAAUGUUUUUUACACAAGCUCACUGCACAAAUGCCUUUGCCUUUCUGUCAAUACAGUAUUUAACUUAAAUAUCUCUUCUCUUUCUUUGAUGGUAAUACACUUGAGGCAUUUGGAGACAACAGUCUUCUUUUUUUCAGUAUUCAUUUUGUUAGGUUUAAAUAAAGAAAAAAACCACCCUUUUUAUUUCAUCCCGAAGAUAAAUCUUUUAUCUGAUUGGCUGUUUCCUUGUGUGCAUGAUAACUUUCCUGCAUUUCUUUUACACUGCAUCCAUUUUCUUUUCUCAAAUAUCAGUGGCUGGAAUUCUACACAGUAUUAUAAAUGGCAUUUCAUGUGUGUUCAAAACAGAAACAGACUGUUGACUAUAAAACACCAUGGAAUAAAAUAUUCCAUAAAAUUAAUUUUGGAGUAGUCACAACAGUACAUCAUAAUAAGUUCUCUACAGAAACACACGAUGAUUCUGAAUUCUAUCAAGAAAGUACAUCAGCAGAAAAGAAGAGAGGAUAGGAAGAACCUGCCUCACAGCUCCAGUGAAAUGUUGCAACUGCACAGGAAAUCUAAGAGGCCAAAAAAUUCUUAAUCCUUCAGUAGACUAUGAAGCAUUUUACAGAGUAGAACAAAGUAAUUACCCCCAUUUAAACCAGAUGUGGUGAAGUGAUAUGCCCUAAAAGAGAUUAAAAAAAGUCAGGAACCCAUAUUUUUAAGUCCAGCCUUGUGUUUCAUGCACAAUAAAUUUCAUUUGGAUUUUCUCAAAAGAAAAUUUCAAUUAUUUUCACAGAAAUUUCAAUUUAAAGUCCACUUUUCUAGCAUGAUGUUACCACUAAUAAAUGAAUUUUAAAGUUUAUUUAAUCUAUAUUACAUGUAUUUAGAAUUUAGUAAUCAUCUAGUGCUGUGAAAUUAUUUACAUAAUUUCUGCAAAUCAAUCAAAAAUCUACUUUUUGUAAAAUGAUGCUGUAAUAUCACUAUCUAUUAAAAUCAAUAAUACCUAGUCUGACAUUCACAGACAGCUUACCAACUGCCAUCAGUAAAAUAAUUUAUUUCAAUUCCAUUAAACCUGUUGUAGAAACAAUAGCUGGAAAUAAUCAAAAUGCACUCAGUUAUUUUUAUUUUUCUUUUAACGGAAAAAAAUAAAUAUGUACCCGUCUACAGACUGAGUUGGUUUGGUUUUAUUUUAUGUGAAGCUGUUUGUUCUAGGAAUUUUUCAGCUUAAAAAAGACUCUGACUGGAGUCUCUCCUAGAAAUAAUAUCUUGAUUUUUCUAAUGAUGAUCAAAUAGGAAUCUUAAAUUCAAGUUUCCUCUCCUACAAUUUUUCAUGUAAGGAAGCUACAAUAUAUGGCAUCACAUUGGAUAAUGUCAUGCAAAGAAAAUCUGUGCUUGUCAGACAAAACUUUAAAAUAUUGUUAUUUUUAAACAUCAAAACAUUCUUUUCAUUGUCACUGUUGUAUAUGAAAGACUUUAUUAAUUGGAAUUUGACUGCAUUGUUCUUUAAUUAUUCACAAACCCUCCAAUGAAAAAUGCAUUUGUAAUGUAACUUAGAAAAAAGAUUUAAUUUGGGGUUAUUUGGGAACAUUUUAAUGCAGAUGCUUUCUGACUAAAAUAUUACACAACUGGUCAUUUAAGUUAGUUGAUGUAGCUUGUGUUCUGUGAUGAGUAAAAAUGAAAUUCUGUAAACAAUGAAAUAGUAAAGCAUUGAUAUGUUUAUGGUCUUUCAUAAAUAACUUUGUUUUCAUAAGACAUAAAAAAAUUAGAAACCAUAAAGUUAAGGAGUUCUUUUCUAUCAGCCAAGACAUUUUUAAUAUGUCCAGCGCAAUCACUAAAUUAAACAAAACUCACAGUUUGGGUGUAUGAUUACACACUACCUAAAGGAAACAGAAGACAUGCUUACCCUUCAGUACGAGUAAUUUGUUUAAAAACCUUAUUUUAAUUCAAGUGAAAAGAAAUCACAAGUGUUUUGUUGGAGAAAGAUUUUGAGUAUACCCAGAAGGAAGCCACAAGUGCAAAGCUUCAGUCUAGUAUUUAAAGUUACAUGGAGAUGGUUAUUAUUUUCAAGGUCUUUCUUGUUUCAUCUUCCCCUUUUCCAUUUUUCUUUUACGCAUUCAGUAUAGCUGAAACCAGCCUUGGGAGUCUUUCUAAUUUAAAUUAAUUUCUAUUAUUAGAAAGUCAUUUCAACCUCUCUGGAAAUUGGAAUUUGAUUUUACACUCUCUGAACCAAACUCCAGCGGUAAGGACUCUCUUCUCAUGUUUCCCAAACAUCGAAGGCAAGGAAGCACCAAAAGAACCAUUAUUUCCCUCAUUUCUGUCAUUUUAGGAGUCCAUUUCCCUCAUUUUUGGAGACUACAAACAAUCAGAUAAGGAAAGCAGGAGUCAGAAAUGAAGGCAGGAAUUACAUAGAGACAAUGAUUAUACUGCUUUAAGACACAGACAUAAAGCAUUAAAAUCAAAUCCCUGCCUAGUUUACUGCUUGUUGGAAUGACAAAAGAGCAAAUUGAUUUUAAAACUUUUUAAACCAAAGAACACACAAAGAUCCUUUAUAGUGGAAUAUCAUUUAAAUUAUUCUAAUUCUAUAUCUCUCCACCUACCUUUUCAUUUUAUGUACCUGUUGCACAUACAGAAAUGCAUAAAUAAAGAUCAAAUGUAGUAGUAAACAAUUAUGUACAAGAAUCUGGGAAACCUGGGAAAACAUAAUCCAGGAGCACAGCACAGGCAGAGAUCUACUGAAGUGAGGAGUUGCUCUGUGGAAAGAGACCUGGUGCGUCCUGGUGGACAGCAAGCUCAGUCUGCAUUAGCAAGGGCAUCACAAGCAGAGACAAAUUAUCCUGCUCUACUGAGCCCUUGACAGGCCACACUUGGAAUAUUGUGUUCAGUUUUGGUCCCUGCUAUACAAAAAAGAUGUGGACAGGCUGGAAAGAGUCCAGAGAAGGGCCACAAAUAUGAACAAAGGACGGGAAGCUCACCAUGUGAGAAAAGGCAGAGAACUGUGUUUGUUCAGCCUUGAGAAAAGGCUUAGAGGAGACGUCAUCACUAUGUUCCAGUAUUUAAAGGGUGGUUUCAAAGAAGAUGGAGACUACCUUUUUAAAAGGAGUCAAAUGGACAAGAUGAGGAGUAAUGGGUACAAGUUACUCCUGGGGAGAUUCCAAUUGGACACAAGACAAAUUUUCACAAUGAGAUCAGCCAUUGGACAUCUUUAUAUUCAGCUGGACAGGGUGCUGGGCCAUGUUGUCCAGACCAUGGUUUUCCCAAUAAUGGUUGGACCAAAUGAUCCUUGUGGUCUCUUCCAAUCUGAUAUUCUAUGAUUUUGCUAUCUUUUACUUACACAUCUUAAAAUAUGUAACCACUACUAAAAACAAACAUGUUGACAUACUUGUAAAAAAAUUCAGAGUUCCCAGGGAGUAUUUUUCUCACUUAUAUACCUUACUGUAGAAAAAGCUGAACCAUACAGGUUAGGUAUUAUCACACACAACAAUGUUCCAGGCCAUUUCUACCACUGAAUAUAAUCAAAUGGACUGAAUAACGGUUUCAUUUUUUUUUUCCUUUUUUUUAAGAAUAGAGAUUGAAAUGGCUGUAAAUUGUAUAUGCAUUGAAUACAUAAAUGUGUAUGUACAUGUAUAUUACACACAUUCUAGCACUUAUGCAUGAUAUUUACCUAGGUCAAGGACAGAUGGAACAUGGCCCCAUUCAUUUUAAGGCACCAAAAUAUUGACAUAUCUAACACACAAUUACAUAGUUAAAGCAUAUGGCUAAUUGCUUUGAUAAAGUAGAAAAAAAUAAUAAUAGGAUUAUAUAUACUGCUUUGCUUCUUUUGACACAAGUGGAAGUAAUUAUACCAUUGCUUUUGAAUCUCUACAGGGGUCAAAUUUUUCUGCUGGCUGUCCACUGGAUUAUUAUUUAGAAAUUAAUCUCUUAGAUAUAAUUGUAAAUAUAUGGAAUAUGUUUAAAAUAAGCAAACUUUUUGCCUGCUUUGAAUACCUGUCACAAACUCUAUUUUCAAUAAACACAGUAAAAAGUGCAUGGAAUUUUCAUCAUCUUUAUUAAAAUUUUGGCAAAGUUGUAGUGAAAAACCAAUUAUGUUGUAGAAUCUAUAAAAAUAAAUCUAUAAUAAAUUGUCAUAUUUGAAGAAAAAAAUGUAAUGACUAAUCAGUUAUUUGAUUAUGAGACAGGCUAAUUAAAUUACCAAGAGGUCUAGUGGAAAACCAUUAGUAACUGAAUAAAUCUCUCAUCGUUGGGGAAUUUAUUGAUUGCAAGUACAUACAUAUAUAUUGAUUUUUUUUUAUUUUUGGCAAGGUGGUUUAAGUAAUUAAGAUCAUGAAGAAGAUGAACAUUUUAGAUUUUCUAAAUGACAAAUUAGAUGCCAAAUAGAUUGCCUGCAAGAAAGAUUGUAUUAAUAUAUGAAAUUGCAAGGCAAAUGUUACCUGUCCAUAUUUAAUAUAUGAUAACAGAAGGCAGACUGCAUUCUCAGUAACUUGUUUGAAAAAAUAACUGCAGACACCUCAGAUAUAUGCAGAACUAACUCUAACAUUUGAACAGGUACAGAUUUGGAAUUCUGUGUAAAAAGAUGGUUUUUUCUCUCUCUUACUUGGAAAAACUUCUUACUUUCAAAAAUAAACUUGACCAAAACCUGCUGAAACUAACAGAUUCUCAUUGUCUUUCGAUAAGACUUUGCUUUCUGGAAAGACUUUCCUUUCUGGAAUCUCACUGCAAAGCAUAUGUCUUAUGCACAAACCU
Columba livia (rock pigeon) is the source of this 8172-nucleotide long non-coding RNA. RefSeq lists it as uncharacterized. The transcript is spliced from 5 exons. The record is from RefSeq and is a predicted model, not a curated record. Lineage: Eukaryota; Metazoa; Chordata; Aves; Columbiformes; Columbidae.